RNAcentral lists this ribosomal RNA (256 nucleotides) under uncultured bacterium. RNAcentral describes it as "partial 16S ribosomal RNA". It matches the Rfam family "Bacterial small subunit ribosomal RNA", at positions 521 to 776 of the family's 1533-position model. The record is from RNAcentral.
UAAGACGAAGGAUGCAAGCGUUAUCCGGAUUCAUUGGGUUUAAAGGGAGCGUAGGUGGACCGAUAAGUCAGUGGUGAAAUCUCUGGGCUUAACCCAGAAAUUGCCAUUGAUACUGUUGGUCUUGAGUACAGUUGCCGUUGGCGGAAUAUGACAUGUAGUGGUGAAAUACAUAGAGAUGUCAUAGAACACCGAUUGCGAAGGCAGCUAACGAAACUGUAACUGACACUGAGGCUCGAAAGUGUGGGGAUCAAACAGG